Molecule: ribosomal RNA, 613 nt
Filed under: Brachinus (Metabrachinus) sp. D WM-2023a
Lineage: Eukaryota; Metazoa; Arthropoda; Insecta; Coleoptera; Carabidae
Description: partial 28S ribosomal RNA
Rfam family: Eukaryotic large subunit ribosomal RNA
Source: RNAcentral
ACGGUUACAGGGCAAUGUAGUGUUUGGGAGAGCCCAUUUAACCUAAGCAAUAUAUAAAUGAGUUCAAGUCCUUCUUGAAGGGGGCCAUUUUCCCAUAGAGGGUGCUAGGCCCGUAGUAACCAUUUAUAUGUUUAGGUGGGUUUCUCCUUAGAGUCGGGUUGCUUGAGAGUGCAGCUCUAAGUGGGUGGUAAACUCCAUCUAAGGCUAAAUAUGACUACGAAACCGAUAGCGAACAAGUACCGUGAGGGAAAGUUGAAAAGAACUUUGCAGAGAGAGUUCAAGAGUACGUGAAACUGUUCAGGGGUAAACCUGUAAUACCCAAAUAUUUCGAAAGAGGUGAUUCAUUUGUCUAUCCGAUUAUGACCAUUUUUCUAUUGUUAGUUAUAGUAUACUUGAACUGAUUAUGAUUUUAACAUUUGUUGGCGACGUAUAUGUAUUGGGUAAUUACAGGACCCGUCUUGAAACACGGACCAAGGAGUCUAGCAUGUACGCAAGUCAUUGGGUAUAUAUAAUAUUUUUACUUGUAAAAAUUUAUAUAUGUUAAACCUAAAGGCGAAAUGAAAGUGAAUAUUUUUUUUAUAAAAUAUAGGGAAGAUGGGUUAUAAUAAAAAUA